RNAcentral lists this long non-coding RNA (239 nucleotides) under Lathyrus oleraceus (garden pea). Its description in RNAcentral is "Pisum sativum (pea) long non-coding RNA (PSAT_LNC014385)". Lineage: Eukaryota; Viridiplantae; Streptophyta; Magnoliopsida; Fabales; Fabaceae. The record is from RNAcentral.
AAUCGACAUCAAACCUAAAUGAGUCUUACCCAUUCCAAAAUCUUGAAAGACCUCAAACACCUCAAUAAUCGAACACGAAAAAGGUAAAGGCAUGUAUACCCAUAUAAGGAUCUUAUACCAGAUUAGGGAGGACAUUUUACUCAAAAACAAACAAAUGGUCCACAGACUGAACUUGAUCUAAACACAUUACACAUCGAACGAUUCUAACAUCAGAAACGGUCUAACGCUUAGCAAGAUUU